GCUCGCAGGCGGUUUCUUAAGUCUGAUGUGAAAGCCCCCGGCUCAACCGGGGAGGGUCAUUGGAAACUGGGAAACUUGAGUGCUGAAGAGGAGAGUGGAAUUCCACGUGUAGCGGUGAAAUGCGUAGAGAUGUGGAGGAACACCAGUGGCGAAGGCGACUCUCUGGUCUGUAACUGACGCUGAGGAGCGAAAGCGUGGGGAGCGAACAGGAUUAGAUACCCUGGUAGUCCACGCCGUAAACGAUGACUGCUAGGUGUUAGGGGGUUUCCGCCCCUUAUUGCUGAACCUAACGCAUUAAUCACUCCGCCGGGGGAGUACGGUCGCAAGACUGAAACUCAAAGGAAUUGACGGGGGCCCGCACAACCGGUGAAGCAGGUGGUUUAAUUCAAACCACCGCGAAAAACCUUACCACGUCUUGACUUCCUCUGACUUCGCUGAAGAUAGGUCUUUCCCUUCGGA
This 459-nucleotide ribosomal RNA is filed under the name Bacillus pumilus. RNAcentral's name for it is "bacterial SSU rRNA". It matches the Rfam family "Bacterial small subunit ribosomal RNA", at positions 567 to 1025 of the family's 1533-position model. Lineage: Bacteria; Bacillati; Bacillota; Bacilli; Caryophanales; Bacillaceae. The record is from RNAcentral.